This 64-nucleotide transfer RNA is filed under the name Cryptocephalus bipunctatus. RNAcentral's name for it is "tRNA-Pro". Lineage: Eukaryota; Metazoa; Arthropoda; Insecta; Coleoptera; Chrysomelidae. The record is from RNAcentral.
CAAGGGAUAGUUUAUAUAAAAUAUUAAUUUUGGAGAUUAAGGAAGGGGUUUAUCUUUCCCUUGA